UUCUCUCUAUGUAUAUUUUUGAAGCCGCCGUGGAAAGACCCGAUAUAUCUCAACCCGACCCAACUCAAUUAAACUUCUGGCCUUCACUGGUUCUUUAUUUAACGGAGCCGAAUCCUUUCGUUGAAAAACCCUAAUUUUGUAAUGUAUCCACCGCCGUACUCGUUAAUCUCCGGCGCCGUAUUAGCAUCAGAGUUUCUGAUUCUUUAGCUUCUAUAUAAUUCCCAAGAUCUCGUUUUUUUUUUAUGUCUUGUGAGUCCUCUCUCGUCAAGUAUGCGCUUUUUCCGAUUCGUGUUUUGUUACCAGUCAUUUUCAGACAUAGCGACGAAGAAGCUAUGAUAGAUGGAUUUCUUAUGUGGGUUUUGUUCUGAUUAAUCACCCCUUACAUUAUAACCUGAAUCUGUAGUAAAGUUUUAUGCUUUGCUUUGAGAUUGAUG
Molecule: long non-coding RNA, 434 nt
Filed under: Eutrema salsugineum
Lineage: Eukaryota; Viridiplantae; Streptophyta; Magnoliopsida; Brassicales; Brassicaceae
Description: long non-coding RNA (ESAL_LNC000563)
Source: RNAcentral